This 489-nucleotide ribosomal RNA is filed under the name uncultured bacterium. RNAcentral describes it as "bacterial SSU rRNA". It matches the Rfam family "Bacterial small subunit ribosomal RNA", at positions 29 to 504 of the family's 1533-position model. The record is from RNAcentral.
AUGACCGCUACCUACUCGCUUACCACAUGCGAAUCCAGGGGCAGCGUGGGCUUAUCUUGCUGAAUCCGAUGGCGACCGGCGCACGGGUGAAUAACACGUAUCCAACCUGCCCAUCACUCCGGUACAGCCUUUCCAAAGAUCCAUUAAUCCCGGAUUGUAUGGCGAUUCCGCGUGGUUUCUCCAUUAAAGGUUUUUUCCGGUGAUCGAUGGGGAUGCGUUCCAUUAGGCUGUUGGCGGGGUAACGGCCCACCCAACCUAGCAUGGAUAGGGGUUCUGACAGGAAGGUCCCCCACAUUGCAACUGAGAACGGUGCAAACUCCUACCGGAGGCAGCAGUGAGGAAUAUUGGUCAAUGGGCGGAAGCCUGAACCAACCAUACCGCGUGCAGGAAGGCGGCCUUAUGGGUUGUAAACUGCUUUUAUAUUGGGAUAAAGGGCUUGUCGAGGACAAGCAAUUGAAGGUACAGUAUGAAUAACUAUCGGCUAACUCC